UUUGAUCCUGGCUCAGAGCGAACGCUGGCGGCAGGCUUAACACAUGCAAGUCGAGCGGGUGUAGCAAUACAUCAGCGGCAGACGGGUGAGUAACGCGUGGGAACGUACCUUUUGGUUCGGAACAACCCAGGGAAACUUGGGCUAAUACCGGAUAAGCCCUUACGGGGAAAGAUUUAUCGCCGAAAGAUCGGCCCGCGUCUGAUUAGCUAGUUGGUGAGGUAAUGGCUCACCAAGGCGACGAUCAGUAGCUGGUCUGAGAGGAUGAUCAGCCACAUUGGGACUGAGACACGGCCCAAACUCCUACGGGAGGCAGCAGUGGGGAAUAUUGGACAAUGGGGGCAACCCUGAUCCAGCCAUGCCGCGUGAGUGAUGAAGGCCCUAGGGUUGUAAAGCUCUUUUGUGCGGGAAGAUAAUGACGGUACCGCAAGAAUA
This 432-nucleotide ribosomal RNA is filed under the name denitrifying bacterium W1a. RNAcentral describes it as "bacterial SSU rRNA". It matches the Rfam family "Bacterial small subunit ribosomal RNA", at positions 12 to 488 of the family's 1533-position model. The record is from RNAcentral. Lineage: Bacteria; Pseudomonadati; Pseudomonadota; Alphaproteobacteria.